AUUGAACGCUGGCGGCAGGCUUAACACAUGCAAGUCGAGCGGGGUGAUGGUGCUUGCACUAUCACUUAGCGGCGGACGGGUGAGUAAUGCUUAGGAAUCUGCCUAUUAGUGGGGGACAACAUCUCGAAAGGGAUGCUAAUACCGCAUACGUCCUACGGGAGAAAGCAGGGGAUCACUUGUGACCUUGCGCUAACAGAUGAGCCUAAGUCGGAUUAGCUAGUUGGUGGGGUAAAGGCCUACCAAGGCGACGAUCUGUAGCGGGUCUGAGAGGAUGAUCCGCCACACUGGGACUGAGACACGGCCCAGACUCCUACGGGAGGCAGCAGUGGGGAAUAUUGGACAAUGGGGGGAACCCUGAUCCAGCCAUGCCGCGUGUGUGAAGAAGGCCUUAUGGUUGUAAGGCACUUUAGGCGAGGAGGAGGCUCUUUUGGUUAAUACCCAAGAUGAGUGGACGUUACUCGCAGAAUAAGCACCGGCUAACUCUGUGCCAGCCGCCGCAGUAA
RNAcentral lists this ribosomal RNA (503 nucleotides) under uncultured bacterium. Its description in RNAcentral is "partial 16S ribosomal RNA". It matches the Rfam family "Bacterial small subunit ribosomal RNA", at positions 30 to 523 of the family's 1533-position model. The record is from RNAcentral.